GGAGGGUGCAAGCGUUAUCCGGAUUCACUGGGUUUAAAGGGUGCGUAGGUGGGCAAGUAAGUCAGUGGUGAAAUCUCCGGGCUUAACCCGGAAACUGCCAUUGAUACUAUUUGUCUUGAAUACUGUGGAGGUCAGCGGAAUAUGUCAUGUAGCGGUGAAAUGCUUAGAUAUGACAUAGAACACCAAUUGCGAAGGCAGCUGGCUACACAAAUAUUGACACUGAGGCACGAAAGCGUGGGGAUCAAACAGGAUUAGAUACCCUGGUAGUCCACGCCCUAAACUAUGGAUACUCGACAUUUGCGAUAAACUGCAAGUGUCUGAGCGAAAGCAUUAAGUAUCCCACCUGGGAAGUACGAUCGCAAGAUUGAA
Molecule: ribosomal RNA, 369 nt
Filed under: uncultured bacterium
Lineage: Bacteria
Description: bacterial SSU rRNA
Rfam family: Bacterial small subunit ribosomal RNA
Source: RNAcentral